UGGGGAAUAUUGGACAAUUGGGGCAACCCUGAUCCAGCAAUGCCGCGUGAGUGAAGAAGGCCUUCGGGUUGUAAAGCUCUUUUGUCAGGGAAGAAACGGUUUUGGCUAAUAUCCAGAACUAAUGACGGUACCUGAAGAAUAAGCACCGGCUAACUACGUGCCAGCAGCCGCGGUAAUACGUAGGGUGCAAGCGUUAAUCGGAAUUACUGGGCGUAAAGCGUGCGCAGGCGGUUGUGUAAGACAGAUGUGAAAUCCCCGGGCUCAACCUGGGAAUUGCAUUUGUGACUGCACGGCUAGAGUGUGUCAGAGGGGGGUAGAAUUCCACGUGUAGCAGUGAAAUGCGUAGAUAUGUGGAGGAAUACCGAUGGCGAAGGCAGCCCCCUGGGAUAACACUGACGCUCAUGCACGAAAGCGUGGGGAGCAAACA
Molecule: ribosomal RNA, 427 nt
Filed under: uncultured prokaryote
Description: bacterial SSU rRNA
Rfam family: Bacterial small subunit ribosomal RNA
Source: RNAcentral